CCAGCAGCAACUUCCCUCCCAUUCACGAGUUUGUUUUCCCUCCUUCUUCGAAGCUCUGGCGAAGGACGAUUGGCGAAGUCCAUGGCGAACAUCGAGAAUGAUCGGCGCAGAAUCGAAGUCGGCAGCGAACAUCGACGGUGAACCAAGCUCCGGCGACUCCGCGAACCAGAGCUGCACUUCGUCAUCAAACUGAAGGGUUUGGAUGGCCAUGAAGAGAUGGAAGGCACUUCAAAUUCCAUGUAUAGGAGAUGCCUCUGAUGUGCAACAGCAACACACCAUUUGUUAUGCAUCUAUUAUGUUUUUGUAGUGAAGCUUUGUAGUGACUUCAAAUUUCAUGUUGAAUUUUUGUAGUGACUAUUAUGAAUGAAUUUUAAUUGGGAUGAGAUUUGCAUGAA
Camellia sinensis is the source of this 395-nucleotide long non-coding RNA. RefSeq lists it as uncharacterized. Lineage: Eukaryota; Viridiplantae; Streptophyta; Magnoliopsida; Ericales; Theaceae. The record is from RefSeq and is a predicted model, not a curated record.